AGUAAUGAUUAAUAGGGAUAGUCAAGGGCACUCGUAUUUCAUAGUCAGAGGAAAAAUUCUUGGAUUUAUGAAAGACGAAGAACUGUGAAAGCAUUUGCCAAGGAUGUUUUCAUUAAUCAAGAACGAAAGUUGGGGACUCGAAGACGAUCAGAUACCGUCCUAGUGUCAACCAUAAACGAUGCCGACCAGGGAUUGGCGAAUGUUGCUUAUAGGACUUUACCGGCACCUUUUGAGAAAUCAAAGUUUUUAGGUUCCGGAGGGAGUAUGGUCGCAAGGCUAAAACUUAAAGGAAUUGACAGAAGGGCACCACCAGGAGUGGAGCCUGCGACUUAAUUUGACUCAACACGGGGAAACUUACCAGGUCCAGACAUAGUAAGGAUUGACAGAUUGAGAGCUCUUUCUUGAUUCUAUGGGUGGUGGUGCAUGGCUAUUCUUAGUUGGUGCAGCGAUUUGUCUAGUUAAUUUCGUUAACGAACGAGACCUCAGCCUACUAACUAGCUAUGCAGAG
RNAcentral lists this long non-coding RNA (508 nucleotides) under Olea europaea subsp. europaea. It matches the Rfam family "Eukaryotic small subunit ribosomal RNA", at positions 861 to 1368 of the family's 1831-position model. Lineage: Eukaryota; Viridiplantae; Streptophyta; Magnoliopsida; Lamiales; Oleaceae. The record is from RNAcentral.